This 795-nucleotide long non-coding RNA is filed under the name Equus caballus (horse). RNAcentral's name for it is "lncRNA (ENSECAG00000039669.2)". Lineage: Eukaryota; Metazoa; Chordata; Mammalia; Perissodactyla; Equidae. The record is from RNAcentral.
UUUUGACCACCAGAGUAACUAGGGCCUAAAGGCAAUAGCUUGACCUACAGGAGGGGCUGGAGCCAAAAGAUCAGCCAUGUGGGCAGUAUGUGGUUGAGCCCCAUGAAAACUCUGGACCCCAAAGGCUUGACUGAGCCUCCCUGGUUGGUAAUUCUCUGUGCAUUGCCACACAUUAUGGCCUGGAGGUGGUGAUGCUGUGCAUGCCCCCACAGGACAAGGAUGACCAGAAGCUCUGUGUGUGGACUGCUCCCAGACUCCGCCAUAUUUUAACCUGUAUCCUGUCCCUGUGUGCUCUGCUUGAGCAUAACAGCUGUCAGUGAUUUCUGUGCCCACCUAAUCCUAACCUUGCCCAUAGCUGAGGAUUGUUCCAUUCUGGAAACACUGGUGGAACUCAUGGUGCCAGACACCAGGCCUAGUGCUAGAAGCACAAAGCUGGACAAGACAUGGUCCCUACUUUCAGAAGCUCAGAGUCGUGUAAAUCUUACCAUUUGUCUGCCAGAGAUUGAUGGGUACUUAACUGUUUACAACCGUGAUGAGAACAGAGAGUGGAAAAUACAUAUCAGUAAUUAUUAACCAAUGGCAAUUGCAGCAAAGAGAAGCUGAUUCUUACAAUUGGUGUGGGAUGUGUACUUUGAGUAAUGAGGCUAAUACUCAGAGAUGGCGUCCACAGAACACCAAGACACCUGGCCGAUUUGAUCAUUUGAAUCAAGAAAAUAUUCAGACUCAAUGAUUUUGAUGCUCUGUCAUGUAUAUUCACAUUUGUCAACUGAAAUAAAGUUCAACUUGAGAAAUAAA